RNAcentral lists this ribosomal RNA (886 nucleotides) under Salmonella enterica subsp. enterica serovar Schwarzengrund. Its description in RNAcentral is "partial 23S ribosomal RNA". It matches the Rfam family "Bacterial large subunit ribosomal RNA", at positions 1917 to 2802 of the family's 2925-position model. The record is from RNAcentral. Lineage: Bacteria; Pseudomonadati; Pseudomonadota; Gammaproteobacteria; Enterobacterales; Enterobacteriaceae.
GCCCCGGUAAACGGCGGCCGUAACUAUAACGGUCCUAAGGUAGCGAAAUUCCUUGUCGGGUAAGUUCCGACCUGCACGAAUGGCGUAAUGAUGGCCAGGCUGUCUCCACCCGAGACUCAGUGAAAUUGAACUCGCUGUGAAGAUGCAGUGUACCCGCGGCAAGACGGAAAGACCCCGUGAACCUUUACUAUAGCUUGACACUGAACAUUGAGCCUUGAUGUGUAGGAUAGGUGGGAGGCUUUGAAGUGUGGACGCCAGUCUGCAUGGAGCCGGCCUUGAAAUACCACCCUUUAAUGUUUGAUGUUCUAACGUGGACCCGUGAUCCGGGUUGCGGACAGUGUCUGGUGGGUAGUUUGACUGGGGCGGUCUCCUCCUAAAGAGUAACGGAGGAGCACGAAGGUUGGCUAAUCCUGGUCGGACAUCAGGAGGUUAGUGCAAUGGCAUAAGCCAGCUUGACUGCGAGCGUGACGGCGCGAGCAGGUGCGAAAGCAGGUCAUAGUGAUCCGGUGGUUCUGAAUGGAAGGGCCAUCGCUCAACGGAUAAAAGGUACUCCGGGGAUAACAGGCUGAUACCGCCCAAGAGUUCAUAUCGACGGCGGUGUUUGGCACCUCGAUGUCGGCUCAUCACAUCCUGGGGCUGAAGUAGGUCCCAAGGGUAUGGCUGUUCGCCAUUUAAAGUGGUACGCGAGCUGGGUUUAGAACGUCGUGAGACAGUUCGGUCCCUAUCUGCCGUGGGCGCUGGAGAACUGAGGGGGGCUGCUCCUAGUACGAGAGGACCGGAGUGGACGCAUCACUGGUGUUCGGGUUGUCAUGCCAAUGGCACUGCCCGGUAGCUAAAUGCGGAAGAGAUAAGUGCUGAAAGCAUCUAAGCACGAAACUUGCCCCGA